GCUGAGCCUGGGCUCUGCCCGUUCCCCUCUGCCUCGUUGCUCCAUCAGGGAAAUGGGUGAGUGGGGUCAGACCUCUCCCCACCCCCACCCAAACAUGACUGUAUUCCUUCAUUUUAACAAUUGUGUGCUGAGCCCUAAUUCUGUCCCAGCCUCAGGACGGUGCAGGGGUGAAUAAGACGGACCCGACCUUCCCUAGAGUCCAGGCAGGUGUGGGGGUGACCGUGCAGGGAUAAUCAUACUUGCUCCCACACUGACCGGGAUGGUGAAGAGGACCGAGCUGACGAUCCCCCAACGCAGAAGAACAAGCCCCCAGACUCUCUGACUGACAUCCGUGCUCAUGGCAAGGACUCAGAGAGGGCCAGGAGCGAGCUGUGGAGGCCAGGGGCAUCAAAGCUGGACACCCAGCCCAUGCCCUCUCCCGGCCACGGCCUCCUGCCCAUGCCCUGCCCCCCGCCCCCCCCCCCCGUCCCCGUGGCUCCCCCAACACCACACAAGGCAGGAAGCCCGUG
This is a long non-coding RNA of Mustela lutreola (European mink), 509 nucleotides long. RefSeq lists it as uncharacterized. The transcript has 3 exons. NCBI's taxonomy places the organism in Eukaryota, Metazoa, Chordata, Mammalia, Carnivora, Mustelidae. The record is from RefSeq and is a predicted model, not a curated record.